Molecule: ribosomal RNA, 1253 nt
Filed under: Triticum aestivum (bread wheat)
Lineage: Eukaryota; Viridiplantae; Streptophyta; Magnoliopsida; Poales; Poaceae
Description: partial small subunit ribosomal RNA
Source: RNAcentral
CCGGCGUCAUGACGGCGUCAAUAGAGCGAACCACAGCAGCUGCACGGCGUCAGGUUAGUCAUCCUCCCGGUCUCCUCCCUCGCUGAAAAAUCCAGUCCUCCUCUAUCUCCCCCUCCUCCUCCUCUGCGCCUGCCUCUGUCUGGGAUCAAACCCCCCUCCCCCACGAGCUCCUCCUCGAUGCGCGGGUCUCUCGAUCCCGAUCCAUUCCCUUCUCUCCUCCGCUCGCCGCUUGGCCGUAGAAAAAAAGUCCGGGCAGGGGACAUGGCGGCUGCCGGUGACAUUUUCCCAUCGCGCCUCGAUUUGGCCGCCUCGGCGGAGGCGCUCGCGGCCUGGAGGGUCGGCGCAGCGCCUCACCUUGGCCUGGAGGCUGGCCGCCAUGGAGCUCCCCUCGGCCUAGAACUGGGGCUCGACGGGGCCUCCCUGCCCGGUUCAUGGCCGCAGCCGUCUCGGCUGUGCAUGCCGGCGUCAUGACGUGGUGGCCAGGCGCUGGUUGCUGCCUCACCCGACCCCAGUGUGCCCGAGGUGCCUGCAGGCCUCUUCGGCAUCUCUGCUCCUGGUUCGCUCUGUUUCCUCGUGGAUGCCAUAGGGGGUCGUAUUUUGUUACUAAUUACUAAGCGUUUUGGUGCAGCCCAUCCGUGGAUCAUCUCUUGCCAAUUUAAUUAUUAUCUACAUUGGUUUUUGAGCAUUAGAUCAAUUAACUGAACUGGCGUUGCUCCUCUUGUUGUGUCCCUACUGCUCACUACUCUCCUUCCCUGAUCUAAUCCCAUCUAGUCGCUGUAUUCUACCUUUCCUCUGCCUCGCUGCUGUACAAUCUGCUCACUGCCGCUGCUGUUCCUCCUCUCCUACACCUCUUGCUGCUGCUCUUCUCCCACGAAACUGUUGCUCCUCUCUUCUCUCAAUGCUCCCUGCUACCUCUUUCUUCUUCCACCUGCUGAUGCUUCUCUUUAGAUCCACAAAACUGCUGCUCUUCUUCUCAAACAUCCUCUGCUGAAGCUCUUUUCCAAACUGCUGCUGCUCUCUUUCUUUCUCUUUCUCUCACUCUUUCUAUGUGUGUGUGUGUGUGUAGUUGCUGAUAGUUAUUAGUGGAUGCAAGAUCAACUACAUUCAAAUCAGUAUUAGCUCUUUAUGUGUCUGUAUGUCAGCUUGUGUACUAUUCUGAAGACCCAAUUUGUGUUUUUUAUGUAUUAGUUUCUGCAAUAUAUGUGAAAUUGUGAGUUGUUGGGAUGAUCAUUUUCAAUUAGAUUUGUACUGUC